RNAcentral lists this long non-coding RNA (703 nucleotides) under Homo sapiens (human). RNAcentral describes it as "DAB1 antisense RNA 1". The record is from RNAcentral. Lineage: Eukaryota; Metazoa; Chordata; Mammalia; Primates; Hominidae.
GCCAACAGGAGCUGGUAAUCAGGAUGGCAGUGAGGCAGGCACUUGCUUGCAGAAGAACAGGCCUAGUUUUUUAAGAAGCCACAAAAGUGUCUUUGGAUGAUUAGGAUCUAAGGGGCCAACAGCUUUGCAAUAACAGCAUAAAUAUUGUGGGCUGGAUGGACAGGCACCAAAUGGGGACAUUCCAUCCUGCUGUGUGAUGAGAAAGCUGCCACUUUUGAGGCCUUCCAAAACAAAUCAACACUCCAUAUGCCAGAAGGAAAAGCCCAGGAAAGACCUAUUCCAACUGGAGAUGGUGAAUGUCAUUUCUUCAAGAAGCUGAGAUCCAGCUGGUACUGCCAGGUGGAGAGUGAGUUGGGAAUACGAAGGGAGAAUGAAACAAAACUGCUCCGCUUAGGGAACUUGGAAAGGAAAUUGAAAAGGCAAGGCACAGGCUGGAAGAAAAUAUUUGAAAAAGAUUUAUGUGAACUUCUUUCUGGAUUAUACAAAAUAUUUUUAGAUAUUCUUACAACUCUAAAAUAAGAUAACUCCUUAAAAAUCUAAAUUCUACCAAAGGAGAGAUAAAGAUGACGAAUACAUUCAAAGAUGCUGAAAAUCACUUAUUUAUUAUUAGGAAGUUACAAGCUAAAGCAUAAUGAGAUACCACUACAACCUACUAAACUGACUAAAAUUAAUCAGACUAACCAGGUGUUGGCAAGAAACAGGG